GCAUUAAUGGGGUAGUGGUAACCUGGGUCGUUGCCACUUUAUGGGUCACGUGACCGCGUAGUCACUACCCUAAUAGUACUAACUUCGACCCGCCCUGGGUUCGAUUCCCAGUUAAUGCA
This is a non-coding RNA of Gloeopeniophorella convolvens, 119 nucleotides long. Lineage: Eukaryota; Fungi; Basidiomycota; Agaricomycetes; Russulales. The record is from the annotation of a GenBank genome assembly.